UGUUGUACCCGCGCUUGACUUAAGCAUAUCAGUAAGCGGAGGAAAAGAAACCAACAGGGAUUGCCUUAGUAGCGGGCGAGCGAAGCGGCAUCAGCUCCAGAUUUGAAAUCUGGCUUCCUUCUGGAGGUCCGAGUUGUAAUCUGCAGAUGGAUUUCUACGGGGGCGUCGGUGCCGUCCAAGUGUACCUGGAACGGUUCGCCAUAGAGGGUGAGAGCCCCGUACGGCGGCGCCACGUCCUCCCAACGAAGCCCAUUCGGAGAGUCGAGCAGUUUGGGAAUGCUGCUCUAACGGGAGGUAAAUCCCUUCCAAGGCUAAAUACCCGCCGGAGACCGAUAGCGCAGAAGUAGCGCGAGCGAAAGGUGAAUAGAACUCUGAAAAGAGAGUUAAAGCAUGUGAAAUCGUUGAAGGGGAAGCGGUUUCGACCAGACGCGCGCCGGUAGGUCACCCAGCGUUCUCGCUAGGGGCACUCUGCCGGUGCGGGCCAGCAUCGACUCGCUGCCGUGGUAAAGGCCUAGGAAACGUAGCUCUUCGGAGUGUUAUAGUCCCUGGCGCAAUGCAUGGCUGGCGGGUCGAGGAUUCCAGCGCUUCGGCACGGAUGUUGGCGUAAUGGUCGACUCCGACCCGUCUUGAAACACGGACCAAGGAGUUGACCCAGCGUGCGAGUGUAAGGGUGUCAAGCCCUGACGCGAAAUGAAAGUGACACAGGUGAGAGCCUCACGGCGCCCCCCCGACCGAUCCUGAGGUUCUCCGGCGGAUUUGAGUAGGAGCAUGUUGGGUUUGACCCGAAAGAAGUGUGAACUAUGCCUGGAUAGGGUGAAGCCAGAGGAAACUCUGGUGGAGGCUCGCAGCGGUUCUGACGUGCAAAUCGAUCGUCAAAUCUUGGCAUAGGGGCGAAAGACCAAUCGAUCCUUCCAAUAGCUGGUUCCUGCCGAAGUUCGCGUCGGGAUUA
RNAcentral lists this ribosomal RNA (949 nucleotides) under Mucispora hydei. RNAcentral describes it as "Mucispora sp. LD-2021a partial large subunit ribosomal RNA". It matches the Rfam family "Eukaryotic large subunit ribosomal RNA", at positions 24 to 981 of the family's 3401-position model. Lineage: Eukaryota; Fungi; Ascomycota; Sordariomycetes; Fuscosporellales; Fuscosporellaceae. The record is from RNAcentral.